This 301-nucleotide ribosomal RNA is filed under the name uncultured bacterium. RNAcentral's name for it is "partial 16S ribosomal RNA". It matches the Rfam family "Bacterial small subunit ribosomal RNA", at positions 509 to 809 of the family's 1533-position model. The record is from RNAcentral.
CAGUCGCCGCGGUAAUACGAAGGGUGCAAGCGUUAAUCGGAAUUACUGGGCGUAAAGCGUGCGUAGGCGGUGAGUUAAGUCUGCUGUGAAAUCCCCGGGCCCAACCUGGGAAUGGCAGUGGAUACUGGCUCGCUAGAGUGUGUCAGAGGAUGGUGGAAUUCCCGGUGUAGCGGUGAAAUGCGUAGAGAUCGGGAGGAACAUCAGUGGCGAAGGCGGCCAUCUGGGACAACACUGACGCUGAGGCACGAAAGCGUGGGGAGCAAACAGGAUUAGAUACCCCAGUAGUCCCUGUCUCUUAUAA